GGGCAGAAGAAGACAUAAUGAAUGGGAAGCUAUUGAAAUUGUGGAGUUGGCCACUCCACAAUGAGUGAGGCGUGUUACCUGUUUCUAAAGAUCGGGGAAGAUGCACAAAGUCACAUACCAAUAACCCCAGAGACUUCUGUGUCACGGCUCUUGUUCCCAUCUCUCAGAUGGGUUUCCUGGGGGAAAGUCUUGAGUUGUACUUUUUAUAACAUACGUGUGUGAGAGGAGACUAAACUCAGUCCUGUUGAGAUGUGGAUAUGAAAUGUCUGUGGAAUGAAUGUCGAUGGCUAAUCUUGGUUGUCACAUUGACCACACCUGGAAUCAAGUAGAACAAAGCUAGUGUGCACUCCUGGGAAGGAUUUUCCUAAUCGAAUUAUUUGAAGCAUGAAGCCCCACCCUAAACCUGAGCUGCACUUUCUGGUGUCGACCCACAUAGAAGAAGAAAACUUUGCUUUUUGUCUGCUUGCCUUCACUAAUACUGGCAUGUUCAUCUAUUCUGUUACUGCAUCCAGUAUUACAUUUAACUUAUUCAGGAUUCCAACAUGGACUGAAGACAAGGGGGGCUCUCUAAGAAUCUCCUAAGCCUCCAGUACCAGACUAUAACUAUUCAGCCAUGUGGACCAAAAAGCUUGGGAAUUCUCAGCCUUCCUGGUGUAAGACAGACAUUGUUAUGCUGCCUGGACCACAGCUUGUUAGCCAAGCUAAAAAAAAACUCCUUCAAAUAUAUAUUCAUCUCAUCAAUUCGGUUCCUUUAGAGAACUACAACCAAUACAUCUAGAGAACAUGUCUUCAAAACCGAAGAUGAUACAAAGGAGACGCUAGAAAAUCUCCAGAAUUUGUUGGCUUUAUUCAACGAGAUAGUAUAGUAUGCAAGAUGGUGUGUGAUAGUCUCAGCUGUGACAUCAGUACCCACCACUCAUCCCCUCCCUUCUGGGACAUGUGCUGGUUGGUUUUGAAUGUCAACAUACACAACUGUGAAGCACCAGAGACUAGAACCUCAGUAGAGGAAUAAAUGGUCUAGGUCAGA
Molecule: long non-coding RNA, 1027 nt
Organism: Mastomys coucha (southern multimammate mouse)
Lineage: Eukaryota; Metazoa; Chordata; Mammalia; Rodentia; Muridae
Exons: 2
Source: RefSeq, a predicted model, not a curated record